Molecule: long non-coding RNA, 578 nt
Organism: Nomascus leucogenys (northern white-cheeked gibbon)
Lineage: Eukaryota; Metazoa; Chordata; Mammalia; Primates; Hylobatidae
Exons: 7
Source: RefSeq, a predicted model, not a curated record
AGCUGUUUGCUAUCCAAGGAAUUAACCAUGGAGUUGCAUGUCAUAGUAGCAAUUGUGAGUUUGUUUGCAGGAUCCUGUCAAGAAGUCAUGGUAAACCCCAUCAUGAUCAAUAAUGAGACUUUGCUUGCAUCUAGGCAUUCAGUUAAGAAAUGAUGUUUUCCCAACCAAGGCUAGCUUCCCAAAAGUUGUUUGAUAGUAUACAGGCAUGAGAUGGUGUGACUCUAACUCAUUAGAUGCCUUCGUCUUUUCAGUCAUCAUGUGAUGGAAAGAAAUCUAUCAACUUCAUUCCUCAGACUUCCUGCAACACAGCUCCUGAUACACAUCUGGUCAGAACCAUGGUACCCCUCCACAAUCCAUGCCAGGAAAAUGGAUGUCUACUCCCUGCCUUUCUUCCCAUUGUUUGGGGACUUUUCCUUAGUUCAGCUGAAGAUGGGGUCCUUGUCACAUGGCCAUGAAAAUUGAGGCUUGCAGAUGAUUUGAAGGAAAUCCAAACAAAAGCUUUAGAAGAAACACCUGGAAAAAUAGUAUGUCCACUUUGAAAAUGCAGAAAUACAGGCAUAAUACAAUGGUGAAAUUUA